This 347-nucleotide ribosomal RNA is filed under the name uncultured Desulfuromonadales bacterium. Its description in RNAcentral is "bacterial SSU rRNA". It matches the Rfam family "Bacterial small subunit ribosomal RNA", at positions 106 to 439 of the family's 1533-position model. Lineage: Bacteria; Pseudomonadati; Thermodesulfobacteriota; Desulfuromonadia; Desulfuromonadales. The record is from RNAcentral.
AUGAGUAACGCGUANAUAAUCUACCUGAUGAUUCGGGAUAACACUUCGAAAGGAGUGCUAAUACCGGAUAAGCCCACGGAGUCCUUGGACUCUGCGGGAAAAGGGGGGGACCUUCGGGCCUUCCNUCAUCAGAUGAGUCUGCGUACCAUUAGCUAGUUGGUAGGGUAAAGGCCUACCAAGGCGACGAUGGUUAGCUGGUCUGAGAGGAUGAUCANCCACACUGGAACUGAGACACGGUCCAGACUCCUACGGGAGGCAGCANUGGGGAAUUUUGCGCAAUGGGGGAAACCCUGACGCAGCAACGCCGCGUGAGUGAUGAAGGCCCUUGGGUCGUAAAGCUCUGACAG